RNAcentral lists this long non-coding RNA (865 nucleotides) under Mytilus galloprovincialis (Mediterranean mussel). The record is from RNAcentral. Lineage: Eukaryota; Metazoa; Mollusca; Bivalvia; Mytilida; Mytilidae.
UUAUGAAAAUAGUUAAAAAAAUCUUUUGUGGUAAAGUGAAAUAUUAAAUUGUGGUUAGAUUUAUAAAGCCUAGAAGUCUUAUUUUGUUAAGGAACAACUCGUAAUUGGCAACAAUGUGAAAGGUAGACUUCCGUAUAGCUGAUAUGGAGAAUAAAAUUGACCAUAACUAUUAUUUUACGUUAAAACUCCAAUGUUGAAAGGAUCAAGUUUGAGCUCCGCAUUUGUCUGAAUCAUUGAUUUUCCUGUCCCUUUUUUUUUCAUCUAAAGGAAUAAAUGUUGGUGUCAUCUUAAGCUCUAAAGUAAAUGUUCCAUUACAAAAAAAGUUGAUUUCAGAAGCACUCUUUCAGUCACGACUUCUCAUUAAGAAACACCAUCUUAAGAGUGAGGUAUCCAAUGGAAGCUCUAGAUGUUAUGGCUAUUAAAGUUACAAUGGAAGAAAGAGCAAGAGGAAUGUAUUUACUGUUCGUUUACUUUCAUAUGAUUGUCGACGUCACCAAUCUCAGAAUUAUGUGAUAUUCAGUCCAACUCGCCUUUAUAUACAUUCUAAAUAGCAAAUUGAUAUCAAAAGGCAGCGCAUAAUACCUCAUCUAGUUGUAUUAGAGAUUCCUGAUUAUAAAGGUCAUAUAUUUUCCUCUUACUGGUACCCUUAUUAAAAAGAUUUGACUGUGAUAUGUAUGAUAUUCUUUAAAGGACCCGGUACGAUUGUGCAUCCUAUAUACAAACAGGUAAACAAACGGUGGGACUGAAUCAUAGUUGAUAUUCAUUAGGAUCAAACAUGAACAACAUAGUGUUAUUGAAGUUCAGGUUAUAUAUAAUAGUAUACAGGCAGUUAUCAUAAUGCGUUUUACUACUUUUUAAUGGAAAU